UGGCUCAGAGGUUAAAGCAUCUGCCUCCAAUGCGGAAGACCCGGGUUUGAUCCCUGG
Molecule: transfer RNA, 57 nt
Filed under: Capra hircus (goat)
Lineage: Eukaryota; Metazoa; Chordata; Mammalia; Artiodactyla; Bovidae
Also listed under: 1 other name
Source: Rfam by way of RNAcentral